UUGGCCUGGCCUCCCCCUGCUCACAGGGCAUCCUUUGGGGCUGCUGGUGCAGGAAGGAGAAUGAGCUCAGGGAACUUUGCCUCAGGCAGAGAGUUUUUGCUUUUGUUUGUCUGUGUGAUGAGGGAAAGAAGGAAGAGUGCUCAGUGCCUGCUCAGAGAGAUGAGCACAGGAGCAAGGAGGUGCCAGAGCCUGGGACAGAGGAGCGGCAGUGUCACAGCACUGGAAUGUUCUUCCUGCCCCCAGAUGUUCUUCCUGCCCCCAGAUGUUCUUCCUGCCCCAUCAGUGACCCAGGUGCUUAUUGCAAAGGACCAUACUGUUUUGCCAUGUUGCUGAGGACUUGUGCAGUCAUAAACCAUCUGCAAGGUUGCCUGGGAUCAACCCCUUGUGAAAGCCAGGUAGCACAGCAGGAAAAUUAUCACAUUGCUCUGGGGCCCGCAGAAGUCUCAAUCCCUGAGCUUCUUGAGGGCAAAGCUCCUUAAUGAAAUCACAAUAUUUGGAUGGCACAGUCCCCAGGAUAUGUAAACACGCUGCCUAAACAGCUGUUAAAUAAUUGCCAAUGUUUAUUCGGGCUCUCAAUCAGGGAGAGGUGGAUUUUAACACACUUUAUGGUGCAAGGCUCCGUAAAGAACAAAGUUAAUCCUUCUGAUGUGGAAGUAUUUCAGAGCUGCAGAGCUCUUUCUUUGAAGUCACUGCUUCACUCUGUGCUGGGACAGUGAUUUCCAUCCAUUUUCACCCUGCUUUGUUUAGGACUUUUGCUCUAAUGCUGGAUUUAGAUGAUGAUUAGGUUUAUUCAGAGAAAUGCGAGCUUCCGACAGACGGCACAAUCAAACCUGAAGUCCCAGCACAGUGAUCUCCAAACAAGGCUUGCUUGAACCAGUUUGUGUCCAGAAUUCCAUGCAAGAGUUUGCACUUGUUCAAGUGCCAUGCCCCAGCGUGGAAUGUGAAUAUUUGCUGUAAUACAUCUGUACAGUUGUAUGCUGCUGGAUGCCUAAGGUUAGACUGGAUGCUCCACACAGAGCAUAAUUUAUUUUCAGACAGAAAGAUGUUCCAAGUGGCAGAGCAUGAAGUUAGGAGCAAUGUGUGAAUCCACUAAAAGAAAAGCAGCUUUUAGGUAAGAAUUGUGUGUUUUUAUCUCUUCAGUUUUGCACCUUCUAUUCAGGAUUUCUAAAGUGAAAAUAAGGAGGGGAAAAACCCCAACACAUUCCUGCAUCUUGUGAGUACUUCAUUUAUAAGUGGAAGAUAUGAUUUUCACAGUAGUAUCAUUUAUAUAAUCACUACUUAUCUGGAAGUUUUGCACUGGUAUAAGAAUUAAAGGUUUAGUUUUACUUUAUGCUUUGAGGAGCACGUGAAGUUUUCAUUAAGAGCUUUAUAGGAACACAGGAAGACAAGACCAUGCUUUCAUUCUUAAGAACCAAAAGAGUAAAUAGAAUAUGAAAACUGUUCCUGGAUAUAUGAUCUAAAUGUAUGCAGUGUGAUUGCUCCUUUCUAAAUAUUAACUGUCUGCCUUGGUGCUUUGCUCUGUGGCAUGGUGACAGCAGGAGAGCUGAUGUGAUAUAAAUGAUGCCAAUCUCUGCUCUGUUGGCAUGAGCAUCUGUCUCCUUGGCAGACUCCAAAGGCAGCUCCUGGCAGCUUUGGAGUUGCCUCUAGGUCUAUCAUAUGGUUAAGCUUCUGACUUUUCCUCUUUAGCUAAAGUCCACUCCAUCUGGAACCUAUUUAAUUCUCUUUCACCUUUGAUUCUGGAGAAACACUGAUGGAAACACAGAGAAUUCUGGACUGAGGACUCUGGAAUUGUUUAGGUGUUUGUGGAUGCUAAACUUCUGAGGAGAUAUGAACCAAACUCUCAGUGUUACACACUAGAACUGAAAUCUGAAAGUGGAAGAACCCAAAAGCAGUGUUUCUUAGAAAACUAUCAAGGAAAUUACAAUAGAGUUUCUUCUUUUGUUUUGUUUGGGGGUUUUGUUAGUUUUUUUAAUGGCCAGCUCAGGUCUGCUGCAGUGGUGUCCCACCUCUCAGUGCUGCCUGGGCUCUGGGAACAGUCCAGCAUUGGGAGUGGGAGAGAGGCAAAAACCAGCAGCAGGUCUGAGAGGGUUGUGGGUUUAGCCAGGUGGUUGCCACAGAUCAAAGCAGAAAGCAGCCCAAAGAUUCAUCCAACCUUGCAAAUGGUUUGGUUCAACCAUGGGCAACCAACCUUCAAAAUUCUAGUGUAGAUCAGGGCCACAUUGCACUACAUCUCACAAAUCUGAAUUAAUCUCCUCCUUCCUGCUUCUUGGACCAGUCUAAAGACCAAGAAUGAAUUGUUUUCCCUUGCAGCUAUAGUGGGAUCUGGCUUUCUUAGAGACAUAAACCAAACAAAAUCUUCCAGAGAGAUGAAGAAACUGUCAGAACAAAGUGGUCAUUAAUUCUUUAUUAAAUCCUGUUCUUUCUUUCAUGCUGCUAUAUUGCCAUUUAAACCAUCUUGGUCCCUCACAAUCUCGUGCCAACAUCAGUGUCUAGCAGGUGAAAAGAGAAAGGGUCAUCACCAGUGGAAUGUUUCAAGCUCAUAGGUACUAAAAUAGCUAUGACCUUUGGUCAGAAGAGCAAAACCAACAAGAAGAACAAAGCCAUGUGCAUUGGAAAAACAAAGCCAGUGGAGGAUGAGAACAAACAGCUCCUGUGCAGCAAAAGCAGACAGCUUGCUCACUCCUCCUCUGGAUCCCAGCACACUUCUCAGGGUCUCUGUGACAUCUGGCUCACUUGCUUCAGUUUCUCUUGCCUCUUUCUCUCCCACCAGGAGAAGGCUGUACAUGCUGCUCCAUCCUGCCAUGCCAAUUACAGCAAGGGGAUAAUGACACUGACUCUAUUCCAGGGCUGGCUAGGCUGAGAGCCCAUUAGACAGAUGGGCAAAACAUGGGAGAGACUUGACUAUAACUUUGAGAACUGGCAUCUGAAAAGCCAGAAACUUAUUUUUGCUUCUUGCCUGGGUAUAGCAUAGACUUUCACAUUGCUUUCAUAUUGGUAGACUCAGAUCUCAACAAAAAUUCCGGUUCCUACCUCUUUUUCUGACUUGUCUAAAGCAUCCCAUGACAUACAGUCAUGUCUGUGAGGAUGACUUAUGGAAACAAAGGGAAAAACAUUCUUGGAGUCGCUGUCUUGAUGAUCCUUAUCUGAAGUUCUUCAUUGUCUCUUUCUGGGCACACACAGUGCAUUUGAAUGCUUGGAUAUCAAUUUUCUCAGCACAGCUUGAGCCCCACUGGAUGCUGUUGGCCUCUGAGCAUCAUUCAGAUUGGUCCAAGCAAUCCCUGAACCUGACAUCAAUUUGUCUGCCAAAGCCACCAGUUUAAUAAAUAAUGUUAUCAACCAGGUAAUGUCCCUUUAAUAUUCAUAUCCUGCUUCACUCUGCAUUUUUAUGUCUGCUUUGAGCAGUCACUUGCAAAGACAGCAAGCUUGGGAAGCUCCUUUAGAAGAGAGCAGUGCUGGGGGCCAGGCUGUCACACCGUGUGUUAUUUGCCCUCCUCUGCUGCAUAUCAGGGAGGUGAGAUGCUUCUGAGAAGGAGAUGGCUGAGGAAAGACACUGAUUUGGGGUUGGUACUUGACAGACAAAAAUAGAUGCAAGAUAAAGAAUGUUGUUACAAGUAUAAAAAUGAGCAAGGAACCAAACUGGUCAGAAACAGAGAGACACAGGUGACUCACUGGGAAAUCAAGGAAUCCAGUGAGGAUGGGUUACUUUUGACUCUUCCCUUGUUUUACUUUGUGGCUUUCAAACCAUCCUGAUUCCUCCUCUAAAUCAGUUCUUACCAUCUCGAUACUUGGAAGUGAAAAACUUUUUCUUACACUAAACUGGGUAUAACAUCUUAUUUACUUGUUAAUGUAGCUGCCAGAUUAUAUAACUACCAGAUCAUGCAACUCCUACACAAAUUCC
Long non-coding RNA from Passer domesticus (house sparrow), 3898 nucleotides. RefSeq lists it as uncharacterized. The record is from RefSeq and is a predicted model, not a curated record. The transcript has 3 exons. NCBI's taxonomy places the organism in Eukaryota, Metazoa, Chordata, Aves, Passeriformes, Passeridae.